CCCGACUCGACCCCCUGCAGACCCAGAGAUGAGUGAGGGAGCCACAUCCUCCUUCCAACAGAUAUCACAUUCAGAGGUCCCGACUCGACCCCCUGCAGACCCAGAGAUGAGUGAGGGAGCCACAUCCUCCUUCCAACAGAUAUCACAUUCAGAGGUCCCGACUCGACCCCCUGCAGACCCAG
This is a long non-coding RNA of Sphaeramia orbicularis (orbiculate cardinalfish), 182 nucleotides long. RefSeq lists it as uncharacterized. The record is from RefSeq and is a predicted model, not a curated record. Lineage: Eukaryota; Metazoa; Chordata; Actinopteri; Kurtiformes; Apogonidae. The transcript has 3 exons.